GACGAACGCUGGCGGCGUGCUUAACACAUGCAAGUCGAACGAUGAAGCCCAGCUUGCUGGGUGGAAGAGUGGCGAACGGGUGAGUAACACGUGAGUAACCUGCCCUGAACUCUGGGAUAAGCACUGGAAACGGUGUCUAAUACUUGAUACAACCUAUCACCGCCUGGUGUGUGGGUGGGAAGAUUUAUCGGUUCUGGAUGGACUCGCGGCCUAUCAGCUAGAUGGUGAGGUAAUGGCUCACCAUGGCGACGACGGGUAGCCGGCCUGAGAGGGUGACCGGCCACACUGGGACUGAGACACGGCCCAGACUCCUACGGGAGGCAGCAGUGGGGAAUAUUGCACAAUGGGCGCAAGCCUGAUGCAGCAACGCCGCGUGAGGGAUGACGGCCUUCGGGUUGUAAACCUCUUUUAGUAGGGAAGAAGCGAAAGUGACGGUACCUGCAGAAAAAGCACCGGCUAACUACGUG
Molecule: ribosomal RNA, 467 nt
Filed under: uncultured bacterium
Lineage: Bacteria
Description: partial 16S ribosomal RNA
Rfam family: Bacterial small subunit ribosomal RNA
Source: RNAcentral